CCGACAUCUUAUGACACGAUAUUAUUUACCAUGUAAUCCAGUGCAGAUGCCGUUAUCCACUUAGGUAUCACAACUUAUGUUAUGUUCCUUAUCAUAUUUCUAAUGAAUUUUCAGAGACACUGAUCUUGAAACUGCUGUAAUUCAACAGCCUAUGAACAAUCGAACAUACAUAGGGAGUAAAAUGGCUAGGUGUCGAGGAAAUCCUGAGAAAAAUUGGAGUACAAUCAGAUCUUGGAAGAUUAUUUGCAUGGACAAACACUUAGCUCUUCUAAACAAGAAUUUGCUACUUCUGGACCAUCAUCGUGGGGGCCUCCUGAAGAUUGCUUGUACCUGAAUUUUCUGCUGUUGCGCUCUGUCAUUGGAAAUCCGUCCAGCUGCCCACUGGUGAAUCCUGUUGAUCGUUGGCGCCAGGAGAUUGCCUGUGAGAAACUCAUUCAGUGAGCACAUAAGCUUCAGUUCUAAUUUUUUUUUACUAAAUCAGAGUCAAUUAAUAGGGAAUAGAGGGAGUACUUGCUUGCUUAUAUCACACCCUUUUCAUGCUACCCCCUACAAAAAGAUUGGCAAUUGAAAUUCUUUGGACAGUUAAUCAACAGUUGACAAAGAACAUUCAACCUGCUGUCAACGAUGACCAGUCUUAUUCACUUGCAUUUCUUUUCACAUUUAAUGACAUGACACUUUCCUUUGAAUCUUUUACUAGUUCAUUGCUCUCUGAUCUGCCUAUAUUUUGAUUAGUGUUUAUUUAACCUUUUGUUGUGUAGAAUAAGAUUGUACAUGGAUCUGUCGAUGUCGAACUAUUCUUAGAGGCUGCACUUGGUUUAUAUUGUGGAAAAGUAAACAAACCUGACAGGCUAAAGGCUCUUUUACUUCUUGCACGCUCCAUUAAGGCAGAUCCAAGCACAGUUAUCUUGUGGGUGUUUUAUCUUCAUAUUUACUAUCAAAAGGAUGAAGGACUUGGAACAAUUUAAGUGAACUGCAGGAGGGUGGGCGGAGGGCGCGCUCCGCGGUGCUCUGGCAUCCUGCUCGACGAGGAAGAGGGUUUGGCGUCAGGGAUGGGAACCUGGCUGCGGCGUUGGAUGCAUGGCGCAGCUGGCGCAACUUCCUCUGGCCACGCGAUGAGGCAUCUGGCCGCGCGGCGAGGCAGGGCCCAAACUCCAUGACAACUUUCUUCCUCGGCGGCAGAUGAACCCUGUUGUU
This is a long non-coding RNA of Lolium rigidum, 1194 nucleotides long. RefSeq lists it as uncharacterized. The record is from RefSeq and is a predicted model, not a curated record. Lineage: Eukaryota; Viridiplantae; Streptophyta; Magnoliopsida; Poales; Poaceae. The transcript is spliced from 3 exons.